Molecule: non-coding RNA, 1380 nt
Organism: Dermacentor andersoni
Lineage: Eukaryota; Metazoa; Arthropoda; Arachnida; Ixodida; Ixodidae
Source: RefSeq, a predicted model, not a curated record
UUUUGUAGUACAGUAAGGCACUUUAGAAAUGUCAAGUGUGAAUUAUAUUAAAAUACAGUAGUUACAAAAGAAUCAAUCAGCAACAUAUAACUGCGUGAGAACGCGCCAUUUUUAAAUGCGGGUUUGUGAAACCUGCAAUCCUCCAAUAUGCCUGCACUACAACCAACUGCUUACGCCUCACUGUACGCGGAGCUAUUUGUUGCCCUGCAUUGUUCAUUCACACUUAAUUACUCAUUCAAGGGCCAAGCGGGAAACACACUUGACGGGCAUGCUUCUUUUUCUCCAUCCCUCCCCUCUCAUUUCUUUCUUCUCCUUGAGUUGCUACCUUCUUCGGCAAACGAUGAGUUACGGAGCAAUUCUUUCGUCAGAACACCUGGGGUGCGAUCAAACCGCUCGGUGAAGACGGCGUAGCGGCGGCACAACGCGCUCCUCGGGUCCUAUCAUGGAUGCCUCGUACAGACGUCCCUCUGUCUGCACCUACGUUGGGCUACGAUCGGCAUCUGCAUGGAGUGCAAUGACCUUUGGAGCUGCUUACAAGACCUUUACCUGCAUCCUGCCACUGCAAGACAUCUUGUGUGGUCCAUUACCAAGCUCAUUGUCUGCAAGUCAAGUCAUCGUAUCAAGUUUAAUUUGCUCAAUGUAAAGUCCUGUUUGCCUUCCAACAACAGCUAGGCAGUCGGUACUGCAGCUAGAGCAGGGAGUUCCAUCUGCAGUGAAAGCAGUGGAGCCUUUAUGGGCAGAGCCAAUCAGGGCUUUGGCUAGGCUACGCAUUAUUUUUGCAGAGUUGGGAUGUCAACACAGACAGAUAUCUGUCAACUACUAACCAUGACUAUUCAACCUAAUUUGUGCUAUGUCUAGAUGGCACAGGGGCCUUAUGAUUGUUGCAUUACCUAAUAACUCCUAUAUUAUGUACAAGGUACUCAGUGCAGUAACUAUGGUUCCUAUUAAUUACCUUUCUGGGACCCCGUAUCCUCUGUGUCAUGACCAAUUGGCGGGUCACACACCUUAACAUCUUUCUAGAGCUUUAGAGAGACAGCGCCACAGUGCUUGCAAUUGGAAGCAACAAGAAUAGGUGGUGGUCAAAACACAGCAGCCAUGACAUUAUUUCAGCGCCAGCAACAGUUUUCAAGGUUAGCUGGAUACACGCCAUGGUCGCUUAGUGGCUGUGGUGUUGUCAAAUCAUGGUAUCAAAUUCUGAACACAGUGGCAGCCUUUCGACACGGGUGAAGUGCAAAAACUUUGGUGUACCAUAUGCAUUGGGUGCACAUUAAAGAAUCCCAAGCGAUCAGAAUUAAUCCGGAAUCCCUCAGUAUGGUGUGCCUCGUAAUCAAGUCAUGGUUUCGGCGCAUCAAACAAUAGAAUUAAAUAACUUUUUCAAAG